AGGAAUGUAGCUCAGAAGUAGAGCACUUGGUUUGUAACCAAGGGGGCGUUGGUGCAAAUCCAACCAUUCCUUUA
RNAcentral lists this transfer RNA (74 nucleotides) under Caudoviricetes sp. RNAcentral's name for it is "tRNA-Thr". It matches the Rfam family "tRNA". From Rfam's summary of the family: Transfer RNA (tRNA) molecules are approximately 80 nucleotides in length. Their secondary structure includes four short double-helical elements and three loops (D, anti-codon, and T loops). The record is from RNAcentral. Lineage: Duplodnaviria; Heunggongvirae; Uroviricota; Caudoviricetes.